This is a long non-coding RNA of Calidris pugnax (ruff), 3313 nucleotides long. RefSeq lists it as uncharacterized. NCBI's taxonomy places the organism in Eukaryota, Metazoa, Chordata, Aves, Charadriiformes, Scolopacidae. The record is from RefSeq and is a predicted model, not a curated record. The transcript is spliced from 4 exons.
CGGCAGGGGCCGCUGGCCUCUUUCUCAGUGCGCGCGGAGGCGGGUGGGUGGUGGCGCUUGGGGCGUGCACGUGCUCCCCGUGGGGGCCGGUACCGCGAGCCCUUAACGGUCCUGAGCCCCAGCCGUCUCCGCCAGCGGCGGCCGAGCGGGCCGGGGGGCUGGCUGAAGAGAUGAAAGCAAUGGAAGUCUUCCGAUGGCCUAAGCAAGCACCAGCGUGACCACAAGAUGUCCCAAGAGCAUGAGUUCUAGUGUGUUUUGCUGGGAAGUUCAGAAGCUCACAGAGAUGGCCUCUGUGGUGAAAGCCUCUGAGCGUGCAAAAGGCAUGUAGGAAAAAAUUACAAAGUGCUGAUUGCCCAGCUGUCCUGCAACUUCCUUCAUGAGGAAGAAUUGUUGGAACCGGCCUGAGACCAGUGGCAGUCUAUGCAAGACUACUCCAUAGGAAACAAAAAGCUGUUAAAAAGAUGGAGUGUUAAACCUGCACGUAGUAACACAAGGUGCUUUAAACUGUAUUGGGGCAGUGUCUGGUAAUAUUCAUGUAGAGAAAAAAAAAUAAAGAUUUCUGUUACUGUUACCAGAAUUUCUAUCUUUCCCAAGCUGUAAUAGCAGUUGCUUCUGUUUGACAGUUCUGACUUCCCAACAUUGUGUUUGAGACACAAAUUCACUGUUUUGGACUAAGUAAAACCUAGGAGCUGUUAAGUGUAUGGGAGGUGAUCACUGAAACCAUGGUCUUCUGUAGUACUUGGGAGAUUGGGUUAACGGAGAUUUGUAUUGUGGUGAGGAAAAGUAAAAAUUAAAAUUCAGCAAACCUGGGUUUAAAAAUAGCAGGAAAGGUGUUUCUCCAGCAUGGAAAACUGCAAGCUUGGUCAGCUGCAGAAUAUGGUACUUCAACUCAACUUGAAGUAGGGUGAAAUAUUGUAGGUAUAACAACUGGAAUUCCUGCUUGUCUUUUGAGGAAGGCUUCUCAUAAAUUAAUUAUAUGAGACAAGCAAGUGCUGAAAUCAUGUAUCUUGCAAUGUCUGAUUUUUCAGUACUGAAUGUAAGCAAAUUACUAAUGCAAAGUCUAAGCAUAAGUUAAUUUUUGGUUUGUCAAGAGGGAAGGAGGCUUAGACAAGAGUAAUUAAUUUUUAGUGAUGCAGCGUACAAUUACUGGAUGCGCUUGAAAGCUUAGAGUUUCUUUUAGGGAUUAUGUUCCCCAAAGAUACCAUCUGUUCAGGAGUUUUGCUCAUGGGUCUUUGUUCUUAAAGUGCAACACUGGCAGGAGUAGCUAUUAAGACUUUUUUGAAACUCCUGAGAGCAACAGCUAAUGCCAAGUUUUAAUGAUGGCUGUCUAAAAUGUUAAUUCUCUUUCAACAAGAAAAACUGUAGAAUCUUAACCUUCAGUGGCUAAUACCUGUUUCAUAGUGUGGUAGAACAAUGAAAAAGUGAGGUAGAGGGAGAAAGGAGCACUGAUUACUAAAAUAGUAAUGCUGGUAAACAUUGAGUAUGGUGUUAAGAACCAGGAUUGCCGUUGAGUUUUUAUGAGUGGCUAACUGGAAUGUAGCCCUGGAAAAAACCUCAAGACUGCUUUAUAAUUUUUUUUCCCUUCCUCUGUUUUACAUGAACACAAUGCCUGACAGACUGUUGAAGUUGACGGUAUUAAAAAGUAGAAAGGAGUAUAGGUUCCGAGGUGGUUGGGGGGGAACAAGAGAACAAAGAUCUGUGCCCUUGGUUAGUGUUGCACCAGACCUUCUUUCUGUUGCUUGCCUCCAGUGCAAGUGUCUCUGCAUUAAAAGGUGCAGAUCCGAACACAGAAAGAAAGCUGGCAUAUUCUGAAUUCCUCUUUAGCUUUUCAGCACACUGCAUCUGAGUUGACUAACGCUAGCUCUAUUAAAUGGUCUGUGUCAGUGGAUGACCUGGGGGGUGACUUUUUGAACAUAAAUCUGUUACCUCUUUUGCCUAGCAAAGGGGCUUAGUUGAAGUAGAUUUAACAACAUUAUUUUAUGAAGAAUGUAGCCUCCAUUCUGAUAUCUUCAUUGGGGAAAGAAUUGCAUAGUCUUAGCUAUUUUUGAGAUCUUAACAUUACUGUAAGAAAGGUGUAUCUUUAAAUUGUGGCCAGCUGGGCGAGCAGUGGUUUUAACUUCUGUAUUGGGUCUGGCUGAGAUGGAGUUAAUUUUCCCAGUAGCAGCCCUCAUGGUGCUGUGCUUUGUACUGGUAGCCAGAAAGGUGUUGAUAAGCACCAGUGCUAUGGCUGUCCCUCUGACAUUGCCCUCUCAGCUGUAGGCUGGGGGUGGGCAAGAUGUUGAGAGGGGACAUAGCCAGGACAGCUGACCCAAACUGACCAAAGGGGUAUUCCAUACUGUCUAAUGUCUGCUCAGCCACGAAAGCCAAGAGAAAGGAGGAGGAGGAGUCAGGGGGGCAUUCAGUAUUAGUUGCUUCCCUUCUGGAGUAACUGCUAUGAGUACUGAAGCCCUGCUUCUGUGAAGUGGCUGGACAUCACCUGCUGAUGAGGAGAAUGAAUCUUUUGUUUUCCUUUUCUUCCACAAGCAGCCCUUGCGUUUGCUUUAUUAAACUGCCUUUAUCUUGACCCAUGAAGUUUUUUUCCAUCUUCCUCCUUUUUCUGCCCCACCCCACCCCCAUCCUGCUGAGGAGGGGAGUGACUGGGUGGGCACCUGCUGUCCAGCCAAGGUCAAUCCACCACAACUCUUACCAAGGAGACAAAUACAGGAGAGAAAAUAAAACAGGCAUAUAAAGGAAAGAGCAUCAGCCACACUGGCUCUGCAUCUGUAUGCUUCGUUUGACAGCUCGUGUAGUCUGCUGCUGUUUUCUGGUGAUUUUUAAGUAAGAAAGGAAACUUUAGUGUGGAUAUGCACUGGAGUACAAAGCUUAUGCUCACAACUUUCUGCUACCAGGAAAAAAUACUUAAUCUGGAGAUGCUGUAUCCUCAAGUGAUUUUUAAUUGGUACUACACCUGUUUUUACCAGAUGGUGGUGUCAAAUGAAUCUGUGUUUCUGAAGGCUUUGCUCCUUUGUGUAAUGUAAAUAAGACACACAGGCAACCGUGGAAUGCCCUAAAAAUUCAAGUUUUACUUGACUUUUAAAUAACCCGGACACAAGUAUUGACACAGCCAUCUAUCAAACUCAAUUUAAAAUAAAGCACACAGUUGCUUCAUGAAUACUUAAUGUACAUAGAACAUAUGCAUCACAUUGAUAUGUUUAUGCAUGUUGUUUUCAAACAUCUUUCUAGCUUUGAAUUAAACAGGCUUUCCCCAAAGAAAAUGUGCUAUCUAUUCAUUUCAAGAUUCACCUGUAUAAAGAUGAUUAUUUGGCAACUUAAA